AAAUGAAGUUCAAGUGGCCAUUGGCUCAAGACUGCUUUUUUACAUUGUCGAAAUGAGGUCUGAAGAUUAAGAAAAAGACAAAUUAAAAAUGAAUAAUUAUCACUGUGGCUGUCCAUGAUGCUGAAUGUCUCUGGGGUGCGGCAAAAGCAGGAAUCCAUGAUGACGUCCAAAGAGGAGGUGAAUCUGCUCAUCUCGCACUACUACCCCAGUCACAAUCAGCAUUAUACACAAAAUAUGAGUUUAGGUAUGUUUAAUAUGAAUGUUUCGGCUUUCAGAAUACCAUCGUAAUGGUCGUAUCAAAAUUCUCCUGUAGGGGACUUACGAACACUACACAGUGGGUCGGAUCAACAAUCUGUACAAGAGGCAGGUUUUUGUACAGUCAGUUAAUCAGACUCAAUCACUGUGGUGGACUUUCGGUGGCGGGACCAAACUGGAAAUCGGCAGUAAGUUGCUACACAAUAAGACUUUUCAAGAUUUUCUGCAAAAAUAGUUGGAGAUUCGAUCAGUUGUUAUACAUUAAUUUCGCUGAACGUUUUUGCGAAUUGCUAGCAUUGUAUAUUUCACAUUAUCUUAUUACAUCUUAUUCCGUCGUGAAACUAGACAGAACAAAAAACAUGAAUUUGAAAAGCUCAAGUGAGUAGGAUACAUGUGUGUAGGAUAUGUCUACAUAAAAAGCUUCGGGGAUGCUGUUACACAUUAUAAAUGGUUGACUUAAAAUCUGCGUGAAGUCAGAAAGAAAAAUGCUUAGGACGACAGUGACUCUUGAGCGAGAGGUUUUUGUACGGCUGGUGGAUGAGUCUGUAUCACUGUGGAACACUUUCGGUGGCGGAACGAAACUGUCAGUUGGACGUGACACAGUUCCCACCCUCACAGUCCUGCCCCCCUCCAGUGUGGAGCUGAAGCAGGGAAAGGCCACACUGGUGUGUCUGGCCAACAAGGGCUUCCCCUCAGACUGGACUCUGCGCUGGAAAGUGGACGGUACCAGUAGGAGCUCGGGCGUGGCCGGGAGUGUGGGGGUCCUGGGGAAGGACGGCCUGUACAGCUGGAGCAGCUCCCUGACUCUCAGUGAUAACGACUGGGUGAAGGCAGGGUCACUGACCUGUGAGGCCACAAAGGGCUCCCUGUCUGCCCCCCCUCAGACACUGAGGAGAGCCCACUGUUCUUAGUAGGCCGGGUGGAGGCCCAGCUCACACACUCUGGUCACACUGUUUUUACCCUGUUCUGCCCUCAGCCUCUCUGCUCCUUACUGCUGUCACACUGAGCUGAGCCUGUGUGUGAAUCCUUCCCCCAGCCUGAGCUUUCAGUGCUAAUA
Non-coding RNA from Conger conger (European conger), 1312 nucleotides. The record is from the annotation of a RefSeq genome assembly. NCBI's taxonomy places the organism in Eukaryota, Metazoa, Chordata, Actinopteri, Anguilliformes, Congridae.